UUAAGCGACUAAGCGUACACGGUGGAUGCCCUGGCAGUCAGAGGCGAUGAAGGACGUGCUAAUCUGCGAAAAGCGUCGGUAAGGUGAUAUGAACCGUUAUAACCGGCGAUGUCCGAAUGGGGAAACCCAGUGCAAUUCGUUGCACUAUCGUUAACUGAAUACAUAGGUUAACGAGGCGAACCGGGGGAACUGAAACAUCUAAGUACCCCGAGGAAAAGAAAUCAACCGAGAUUCCCCCAGUAGCGGCGAGCGAACGGGGAGCAGCCCAGAGUCUGAAUCAGCUUGUGUGUUAGUGGAACGGUCUGGAAAGUCCGACGGUACAGGGUGAUAGUCCCGUACACCAAAAUGCACAGGCUGUGAACUCGAAGAGUAGGGCGGGACACGUGGUAUCCUGUCUGAAUAUGGGGGGACCAUCCUCCAAGGCUAAAUACUCCUGACUGACCGAUAGUGAACCAGUACCGUGAGGGAAAGGCGAAAAGAACCCCGGCGAGGGGAGUGAAAAAGAACCUGAAACCGUGUACGUACAAGCAGUGGGAGCACCUUCGGGUGUGACUGCGUACCUUUUGUAUAAUGGGUCAGCGACUUAUAUUCUGUAGCAAGGUUAACCGUAUAGGGGAGCCGAAGGGAAACCGAGUCUUAACUGGGCGUUAAGUUGCAGGGUAUAGACCCGAAACCCGGUGAUCUAGCCAUGGGCAGGUUGAAGGUUGGGUAACACUAACUGGAGGACCGAACCGACUAAUGUUGAAAAAUUAGCGGAUGACUUGUGGCUGGGGGUGAAAGGCCAAUCAAACCGGGAGAUAGCUGGUUCUCCCCGAAAGCUAUUUAGGUAGCGCCUCGUGAAUUCAUCUUCGGGGGUAGAGCACUGUUUCGGCUAGGGGGUCAUCCCGACUUACCAACCCGAUGCAAACUACGAAUACCGAAGAAUGUUAUCACGGGAGACACACGGCGGGUGCUAACGUCCGUCGUGAAGAGGGAAACAACCCAGACCGCCAGCUAAGGUCCCAAAGUCAUGGUUAAGUGGGAAACGAUGUGGGAAGGCACAGACAGCCAGGAUGUUGGCUUAGAAGCAGCCAUCAUUUAAAGAAAGCGUAAUAGCUCACUGGUCGAGUCGGCCUGCGCGGAAGAUGUAACGGGGCUAAACCAUGCACCGAAGCUGCGGCAGCGACGCUUAUGCGUUGUUGGGUAGGGGAGCGUUCUGUAAGCCUGUGAAGGUGUGCUGUGAGGCAUGCUGGAGGUAUCAGAAGUGCGAAUGCUGACAUAAGUAACGAUAAAGCGGGUGAAAAGCCCGCUCGCCGGAAGACCAAGGGUUCCUGUCCAACGUUAAUCGGGGCAGGGUGAGUCGACCCCUAAGGCGAGGCCGAAAGGCGUAGUCGAUGGGAAACAGGUUAAUAUUCCUGUACUUGGUGUUACUGCGAAGGGGGGACGGAGAAGGCUAUGUUAGCCGGGCGACGGUUGUCCCGGUUUAAGCAUGUAGGCUGGUUGUCCAGGCAAAUCCGGAUAAUCAAGGCUGAGGUGUGAUGACGAGGCACUACGGUGCUGAAGUAACAAAUGCCCUGCUUCCAGGAAAAGCCUCUAAGCAUCAGGUAACAUCAAAUCGUACCCCAAACCGACACAGGUGGUCAGGUAGAGAAUACCAAGGCGCUUGAGAGAACUCGGGUGAAGGAACUAGGCAAAAUGGUGCCGUAACUUCGGGAGAAGGCACGCUGAUAUGUAGGUGAAGUCCCUCGCGGAUGGAGCUGAAAUCAGUCGAAGAUACCAGCUGGCUGCAACUGUUUAUUAAAAACACAGCACUGUGCAAACACGAAAGUGGACGUAUACGGUGUGACGCCUGCCCGGUGCCGGAAGGUUAAUUGAUGGGGUUAGCGGCAACGCGAAGCUCUUGAUCGAAGCCCCGGUAAACGGCGGCCGUAACUAUAACGGUCCUAAGGUAGCGAAAUUCCUUGUCGGGUAAGUUCCGACCUGCACGAAUGGCGUAAUGAUGGCCAGGCUGUCUCCACCCGAGACUCAGUGAAAUUGAACUCGCUGUGAAGAUGCAGUGUACCCGCGGCAAGACGGAAAGACCCCGUGAACCUUUACUAUAGCUUGACACUGAACAUUGAGCCUUGAUGUGUAGGAUAGGUGGGAGGCUUUGAAGCGUGGACGCCAGUCUGCGUGGAGCCAACCUUGAAAUACCACCCUUUAAUGUUUGAUGUUCUAACGUUGGCCCCUUACCGGGGUUGCGGACAGUGUCUGGUGGGUAGUUUGACUGGGGCGGUCUCCUCCCAAAGCGUAACGGAGGAGCACGAAGGUUAGCUAAUCCUGGUCGGACAUCAGGAGGUUAGUGCAAUGGCAUAAGCUAGCUUGACUGCGAGCGUGACGGCGCGAGCAGGUGCGAAAGCAGGUCAUAGUGAUC
Molecule: ribosomal RNA, 2392 nt
Filed under: human gut metagenome
Description: bacterial LSU rRNA
Rfam family: Bacterial large subunit ribosomal RNA
Source: RNAcentral